Molecule: long non-coding RNA, 602 nt
Organism: Glycine soja
Lineage: Eukaryota; Viridiplantae; Streptophyta; Magnoliopsida; Fabales; Fabaceae
Exons: 2
Source: RefSeq, a predicted model, not a curated record
AAAGCCAAAACCAGCCAUAACACAAACCAAUGCUAAAUUACAUAUCAGAAAAAAAAUUUGUUAACCUUUCUUUUAGAAGCAUUCUUACACAAGUUUUAUGUUGUGUUUUUUUGCAGUGUGAAGAAAUCUUCUUACCACGAGUACCCGGAUAAUUUGUGUCAUAGUGGACCAUCAUGUUGGCCUUCCUCAUCACCAUAUCCUGAAGACCCAUUUGGUAUGUCUCCAAGGCCAUCCCCUUCAUUGCCACUGCCAGUUUCUAAGGCUGCUCUGAGGACUCUUGCCUUCCUCGGUCAAUUUUUAUUCAAUGUGCUACAAUUGUUCUUGUUAAAAUUUAUCAUUUAUUUUCUGAUUUGAAUAAGCAUAUCUAGUCGAGAAUAACCCAUGUCUUUUAUUCAAUUCUACCUUUACCCUUCCCCCCUGAAAGAAAAGAAAGAUUUCAAUUUGGUGUUUUUAGGUGUACAAAAUUUUUGUACAAAGCCAUUUUUCUUUUUUUUCAUCUUUUUUAUUCUCUAUUGUAAACUUUGUUGCUAUUUACAUGGUUUGAGGACUUAAUUUAGACAAUUUUUAUGCCCAUUUGAUUAUAGUGGAAUUCCGUUUAUUGA